Molecule: long non-coding RNA, 1132 nt
Organism: Pezoporus flaviventris
Lineage: Eukaryota; Metazoa; Chordata; Aves; Psittaciformes; Psittacidae
Exons: 3
Source: RefSeq, a predicted model, not a curated record
CACACACGAUCAAUUAUGAAAACACCCAUAGAAAAGAUACAGUGUGGUGAAGAAUGAUAUGAACAAAUCUGGAUGACAUUUAACAUAAGAGUUAAUGGUCAUAUUGUUCUUGGGGUUUAUUGAAAAUUACCAGGCAGGCUCUGGAAAAUAUGUGCUGUUGGGAAUCUGUUCAGAGUUUUUAUCAAAGCUUCCUUGCAAUUAGUGGCAAAUUACUGCUCAUUCCUCUGGAAUUCCUUGAAAUAAGAUCACCCUGAUUUCAGCCUGAUACUAUUCAUGGCCUCACAAUCUGCAGCUAUAUGGGAAACAUAUUCUAAUAAUAAAUGCAAUAGCACGUAUUUGUGUGGCAAGCAGCAGUGAUAAAACCUUAGCACCAUUCAAUAAGCAUUUUCACCAUCAAGGGGCUUAACUUGCCAACCUUAAUCUUUACAGCUCUCUCUAAGGUGUGUGAUCGGUUUAUCUCAGUAAAUGCAGUGAUAGGAGUGGCUAAUCUCUGCAUCCCAAGGCUGGAAGGUCGCACCCUGAUAAACUCAGUGCUGGCAUGACAAUGUACUGCAGCUCACUCUGUCAUCUCAGAGAGCGAAGGCACACAUAUGGGAGUUGCUUGCCUGAGGCCUUGGUGCUGGAGCUGAACCAGGAGCCAGGAGUUUAAGGAGCCUGUUGGCCUCAUCCUCCCAGCACUUGCAAGCAUCUCGGCUUCUGGACUGCUUUUCCCUUGCACCUCAGAAAGGGGAAUUCUUUCACUUUCCAAGACUGAUUUCUCCCUGGGGGUCACCUGAAGUCCCAGGGCUUUAUCCAGCAGAGAAAUGCAGACAGGCAACUUCAUGUGCAGCUGUGUGACCACUGGUUUCAAGGAGCACCAGAGAUGCAUUUGCAUUUAUGCCACUGCAGGAUCAGUUCAUGGUCGUUUAUUUUACUUAGGUGUGCUUGCAACAAAGCAAGGAUGGAAAGUGCUUUAUUUUAUGUGGAAAAGAAAAUGGGAGGGGAAGAGGAAAAAUGAUGCAGUCAUCAGAAAAUUAUUUGAAACAGUAACAAAGUGUUAAUAGUCUAAUGAAGAGGAGAGAUGGAACACAAACCUACAAAGCUUGUUGCAUGGUUGUAUUUUGUUUAAUAAGAGAAUUUAUUUUUAAGUGAA